Molecule: ribosomal RNA, 244 nt
Filed under: uncultured bacterium
Lineage: Bacteria
Description: partial small subunit ribosomal RNA
Rfam family: Bacterial small subunit ribosomal RNA
Source: RNAcentral
AGAAUCAACGCUGGCGGCGUGCCUAACACAUGCAAGUCGAACGAGAAAGUGGAGCAAUCCAUGAGUACAGUGGCGACCGGGUGAGUAACACGUGACUACCUGCCCUUGAGUGGGGGAUAACCUCGGGAAACCGAGGCUAAUACCGCAUAAUAUCGAGAGAUCAAAGGAGCAAUUCGCUUUUGGAGGGGGUCGCGGCUGAUUAGCUAGUUGGCGGGGUAAUGGCCCACCAAGGCGAAGAUCGGUA